CACGCCAUAAACGAUGGAUACUUGUUGUUGGAGGUAUUGACCCCUUCAGUGACGAAGCUAACGCGUUAAGUAUCCCGCCUGGGGAGUACGGUCGCAAGAUUAAAACUCAAAGAAAUUGACGGGGGCCCGCACAAGCGGUGGAGCAUGUGGUUUAAUUCGAUGCAACGCGAAGAACCUUACCUAGGCUUGACAUGAACUGGAAGGGUAGCAGAAAUGCUCCCGCCUUCGGGCCGGUUCACAGGUGC
RNAcentral lists this ribosomal RNA (245 nucleotides) under uncultured Bdellovibrio sp. RNAcentral's name for it is "partial 16S ribosomal RNA". It matches the Rfam family "Bacterial small subunit ribosomal RNA", at positions 796 to 1041 of the family's 1533-position model. The record is from RNAcentral. Lineage: Bacteria; Pseudomonadati; Bdellovibrionota; Bdellovibrionia; Bdellovibrionales; Pseudobdellovibrionaceae.